GCACCAGAUAAUAACUGAUGCAAUAUCGACUCUGUCGAAUAAAAUUCUAGGCAGAAUUAUGAUAAUGACAUUCUCUGCCUACAUGUCUUGACCAAAUUACGUGCCAGCAGUCGCGGUAAUACGUAGAAGACUAGUGUUAUUCAUCUUUAAUAGGUUUAAAGGGUACCUAGACGGUAAAUCAAGCCUGCGAGGGGACUAGUUUACUAGAGUUACUUGUGAGGGGGUAUUAAAGUACUAAUGGUGUAGAGAUGAAAUUCUGUCAUACCUCUUUUCGGAAGAAAAACUAUGGCACAGGUAUAGGCGAAAGCAUCCCCUUAUGUGAUAACUGACGUUGAAGGACGAAGGCUUUGUGUCGCGAACAGGAUUAGAUACCCCAGUAGUCAAAGCAGAAAAUGAUGAAUGUCAUAGAUUAGGCAUAUAAUAGUUUAUUCUAUAAAUGAAAGUGUAAGCAUUCCACCUCAAGAGUAAUUUGGCAACAUUGGAACUGAAAUCAUUAGACCGUUUCUGAAACCAGUAGUGAAGUAUGUUGUUUAAUUUGAUAAUCCGCAAAAAACCUUACCACAACUUGAAUAUUUAUGUUUAAUUUUUUAUAAAAAAAGAUAUAUUUACAAGCGUUGCACGGCUGUCUUCAGUUAAUGUCGUGAGAUUUUGGUUAGUUCCAUUAAAUUAACGUAAACCCUUGCUUUAUUUUUAUAUAAAGUAGUUCCCCGCU
Molecule: ribosomal RNA, 712 nt
Filed under: Lecidella tumidula
Lineage: Eukaryota; Fungi; Ascomycota; Lecanoromycetes; Lecanorales; Lecanoraceae
Description: SSU rRNA
Rfam family: Bacterial small subunit ribosomal RNA
Source: RNAcentral